Long non-coding RNA from Cinclus cinclus, 813 nucleotides. RefSeq lists it as uncharacterized. The record is from RefSeq and is a predicted model, not a curated record. NCBI's taxonomy places the organism in Eukaryota, Metazoa, Chordata, Aves, Passeriformes, Cinclidae. The transcript is spliced from 3 exons.
GCAAAACGAGCAUCCUUGUAAUGUCUGAAAGGGUUAGGAAUAAAAAUGCUGGAGAAGGGCACAUUUAUAUUUGAAUUGGUGUCACCUGUCUUGGAUUAAGCCCCACAGUGAGCAAUCCAGAGCAGAAUUGUGAAAGCUGGGAUCCUUUGACUUCUCUAGGGGACUUCAUUUUCUUUUCCUCCUCUUCCAGGACCAGAGAAAUGGUUCCACUCCUCCCAUCUUUGCCAAAAGCUGUGGUGUUUGAGGAGCCAGAGCCAAGAGGCUUCAGCACCAGGGGUCUGCACUGGGGGGCUCCCGGUCCUGACCGCGCAGGGUUCCCCUUUUCCUCCCCGCUGGGAUGAAGUGUCUAUGGAAUCUGGGAUCUGGGUGAAACUGCAGCUCUGCUGGUAUCCAGGGACGUGAGGUUCCGGGGGACUGCGUUUCCCUGUGGCUUUCCAGGUCGGCAGGAGCCGGAGGAAAUGGGGUGCCAGAGCCGUGCCCCAUCAGGCCGUGUUUGCCUCUGAGGAACAGAGAGUCCGGGCUGAGGGAGAAGAGGACGAACUCCCAGCCCUUCGGGCCUGACAGUCCCCUGCAGCGAGAGCUCAGCACGCAUCCCCAGAGGCAAGUCCAGCAGGAGAAAGAAGGAAGAAAAGGUCCCUCCUGGCCUCCUCCUGCCCCGAGUUCCCUGACAGCUGGGACACACAGAAACACCAAGGAACGUUGCUGGCAGCGAGCAGGAGACACCGAGGCCUCUGUACAGCUCUGGGCCAGAAAAGCAGCCCCAGCUUCAGCAGCUGCCAUCGUUUUGGCCUGGCAAUACUCACCUGGAGGAAC